GAUGAACGCUGGCGGCGUGCCUAACACAUGCAAGUCGAACGGGUGUGGUAUCAGGGAAAAGGGGUUUACUUCUUUGACCAGAUAACACACUAGUGGCGGACGGGUGAGUAACGCGUGGAUAACCUGCCUUAUACAGGGGGAUAACAGGGAGAAAUUCUUGCUAAUACCCCAUAGGUAUGUCUGACGCAUGUUGGACAUAUUAAAGCUUUGGCGGUAUAAGAUGGGUCCGCGUCUGAUUAGCUAGUUGGUGGGUAAAGGCCCACCAAGGCGACGAUCAGUAGCCGGCUUGAGAGAGUGGACGGCCACAUUGGGACUGAGACACGGCCCAAACUCCUACGGGAGGCAGCAGUGGGGAAUAUUGCACAAUGGGGGAAACCCUGAUGCAGCGACGCCGCGUGAAGGAAGAAGGUCUUCGGAUCGUAAACUUCUAUCAGCAGGGAAGAAGGAAGUGACAGUACCUGAGUAAGAAGCCCCGGUAACUACGUGCCAGCAGCCGCGGUAAGGUAGUA
RNAcentral lists this ribosomal RNA (509 nucleotides) under uncultured bacterium. RNAcentral describes it as "bacterial SSU rRNA". It matches the Rfam family "Bacterial small subunit ribosomal RNA", at positions 28 to 529 of the family's 1533-position model. The record is from RNAcentral.